UUGUAGUCUGGUAAGACAACUAAAAAUUAUGUCAAAAUUACUUAAAACUCAUUUCCUUUCACAAUGCACUUUCCCAAAUAAUAUCUCUUUUAAUAGUUGAACUAAAUAAGAAUAUCCUUCUCUAAUUACACCAAAGAAAUGUAAAUGGUUUCAUUGAUAUUCAAUUUUUUAUUUGCUUAUUUGUUAGUCUUUUUAUAUCAACGUUUCUUCAAAAUUUGUUGAUUUUUGACAUGGAAAAUUAAAAUUAAAGCUUUUUAGUGCCCAAAAGCUCGGAUUAUUGCUAGUGUUAUUCUAAUAAAACUUAAACAUAAUUUUGAAGGAUAAUAAAUAAUAUUACUUUGAAUUAGUGGUUUAGAUGAAAUGAAAUUUUAAAUUUUGAGACUUUUCAAUUGAUUUGACAAGAAGGUGAAUUAAAUUUAUGAUAAUAAAAAAAUAUUUUGUUGUAUAUAGAAACUCCAAAAAAUUAAUCGAAUUGCCUCCAAUUUAAUGUGGUGUUUGAAUCUAAAAAUUUGAUAUCUUUAAAACAGCAGCCUUGAAUGGAAGCAUGAUA
Molecule: long non-coding RNA, 550 nt
Filed under: Physcomitrium patens
Lineage: Eukaryota; Viridiplantae; Streptophyta; Bryopsida; Funariales; Funariaceae
Description: long non-coding RNA (PPAT_LNC003319)
Source: RNAcentral